GAUGAACGCUGGCGGCGUGCCUAACACAUGCAAGUCGAGCGAACAGAUGAGGAGUUUGCGCCUCUGACGUUAGCGGCGGACGGGUGAGUAACACGUGGAGAACCUACCUAUAAGACUGGGAUAAUUUUGGGAAACCGGAGCUAAUACCGGAUAAUAUAUUGAACCGCAUGGUUCAAUAGUGAAAGACGGUUUUGCUGUCACUUAUAGAUGGAUCCGCGCCGCAUUAGCUAGUUGGUAAGGUAACGGCUUACCAAGGCAACGAUGCGUAGCCGCCCUGAGAGGGUGAUCGGCCACACUGGAUCAGAGACACGUUCGAGACACCGACGGUAAGACGCAGUCGGGAAUCUUCCGCGAUGCACGAAAGCCUGACGGAGCACCGCCGCGUGAGUGCUGAAGGUCUUCUGAUCGUAGAACUCUGUUAUUAGGGAAGAAGGAAUGUGUAAGUAACUAUGCACAUAUUGACGGUACCGAGUCAGAAAGCCACGGCUAACUACGUG
This 497-nucleotide ribosomal RNA is filed under the name uncultured bacterium. RNAcentral describes it as "partial 16S ribosomal RNA". It matches the Rfam family "Bacterial small subunit ribosomal RNA", at positions 28 to 507 of the family's 1533-position model. The record is from RNAcentral.